UACGGAGGAUGCGAGCGUUAUCCGGAUUUAUUGGGUUUAAAGGGUGCGUAGGCGGACGCUUAAGUCAGCGGUAAAAUUGCGGGGCUCAACCUCGUCGAGCCGUUGAAACUGGGUGCCUUGAGUGGGCGAGAAGUACGCGGAAUACGUGGAGUAGCGGUGAAAUGCAUAGAUAUCACGCAGAACUCCGAUUGCGAAGGCAGCAUACCGGCGCCCUACUGACGCUGAGGCACGAAAGCGUGGGUAUCGAACAGG
This 252-nucleotide ribosomal RNA is filed under the name uncultured bacterium. RNAcentral's name for it is "partial 16S ribosomal RNA". It matches the Rfam family "Bacterial small subunit ribosomal RNA", at positions 524 to 776 of the family's 1533-position model. The record is from RNAcentral.